Molecule: long non-coding RNA, 1338 nt
Organism: Heterocephalus glaber (naked mole-rat)
Lineage: Eukaryota; Metazoa; Chordata; Mammalia; Rodentia; Bathyergidae
Source: Ensembl
CUGCUGUGUUUGGCAGUCACUGAUAGACUUAAGACGUGGUAUCCAAAACCCACAGUAAUAGAAGACAGAAUCUUCGCAAUAUUAAGUUAACUCCUUAACCGUAAAAGGAAUCUUUAGUUUUAUUAAUAAAAACAUGAAAGAGGAUAGGUUGUAUCCCAGGCAGUUGACACUUGGAGUGGUUGCACCAAAGUACAUCUGUAUGCAGGCACUGGUAGUGGCCCUUCUGCAAGCUGUUCUUCCUCCAUCUUAUCUGCAAUGUGAUUCUGGCCAAGUCUGGGAAAAUUUUAUGCUUUUAAAAGUAACAGCCUCUUUUCCGGCUUUGGGACAUUGUGAAGAUAUACUUGGGACUGCUGCAGCCAUCUUGCAUCCGUGAGGCUUCCUUCAAAGCAAGAGCUGAGUGGCUGAGGAUAUAGCUCAAGCUAAAGCUUUAAGCUCAGCACACGGUCCUGAGUUCAAUCCCCAGUACAAAAUAAAAAGCAAGAGCUGAAGACCUAUGAAGACAGAGAGUAAAGAAAAAAGAACUCAAGUCCUUGGUGAUGCCAAUGAACUGCUGAAAUAGCCAGUCCUAAAACCCUGACCUCAGCCCUCUUGUUUUGAUUCAGAAAUGUAUUUUUACCUUUUAAUAGUUCCAAAUGCAGGCUAUGUCUUACGAGCAAUGACAUCUCAGUUUCUGUCAAAUACAAAAGCAUGUAAGAAUAAUUCCCUGGAAGAAUGCAUCAUGAAAAUCCCAGACAGUGGUUUGACUGCGAGUUACAGUUCUGUUAUAGUGUGGAUGUUGAAUGUCCUCCAAAGACCUGUAUGUUAAAAGUUUAGGAGCUAAGCAGUUGGCACCACCUCCCAUCCACCAUGAUGUGCUGCCUUACUAGAGGCCCAAAGCAAAGGCCCAAGUGCCUUUAAUCUCGGACUGGACUCUCCAGAACUGUGAGCCAAAAUAAAACUUUUACCUUUGUAAGAGAAUUAUCUCAGGUGUUUUAUUAUAGUAACAGGAUGCUAACAUAACCACCAUGCUAUGUUUCCCAAAAUAUUCUGCAGUGACAUUGGAACAUUUUUGCAUAACUCCAGUGAUUUCAGUUCAUCCUCCUACAAAGUUCAUCGUGAAAACAUUCAGGAUUUUUUUCUUCGUUGAAGAUUGUCAAUCAAUGCCACAAAUCCUGUUCAGCAAAAAUCUUAGAUCACUGAAUGUAGCUUUAACUUUCUGGAGGAGGAGAAAUGUAACAGUGUAUACUCUAUUUUUUGAGAAUAGAGAUCUUGGAGUUGUAGAUUACUUCUUUGAGUUUACAAUAGUAUUCAGGAAGAAAAGCCAUGCAUUUUACUCACCUGCUCUGCAGAGCUGUUGCC